AGCAGUUCGGCUGGGCACUCUAAAGGGACUGCCGGUGUUAAACCGGAGGAAGGUGGGGAUGACGUCAAGUCCUCAUGGCCUUUAUGACCAGGGCUACACACGUACUACAAUGGCCGAUACAAAGGGCAGCGACACUGGCGAGGUGAAGCCAAAUCCCGUAAAAUCGGUCUCAGUCCGGAUUGGAGUCUGUAACUCGACUCCAUGAAGUUGGAAUCGCUAGUAAUCGUGGAUCAGCAUGCCACGGUGAAUACGUUCCCGGGCCUU
RNAcentral lists this ribosomal RNA (264 nucleotides) under uncultured Desulfobulbus sp. Its description in RNAcentral is "partial 16S ribosomal RNA". It matches the Rfam family "Bacterial small subunit ribosomal RNA", at positions 1120 to 1382 of the family's 1533-position model. Lineage: Bacteria; Pseudomonadati; Thermodesulfobacteriota; Desulfobulbia; Desulfobulbales; Desulfobulbaceae. The record is from RNAcentral.